CGGGGAGUAGCGCAGCCUGGUAGCGCAUCUGCUUUGGGAGCAGAGGGGCAAUGCUCAAUCAUUGGCGGCUUUCUGCGGUUUUUGAAAUAUUGACGGAACUGGUUCGGGACUAUUCCGGGACUCGGCUGCAAUCAUGGCCUGGCGCACGGCGUCCUCAUCCGUGUGGAAGUAGCGCUUCGUCGUCCUGAUAUCGCUAUGCCCGGCCAGCCGAUUGGCCGCCUCGA
RNAcentral lists this transfer RNA (224 nucleotides) under Sphingosinicella sp. LHD-64. RNAcentral's name for it is "tRNA-Pro". Lineage: Bacteria; Pseudomonadati; Pseudomonadota; Alphaproteobacteria; Sphingomonadales; Sphingosinicellaceae. The record is from RNAcentral.